RNAcentral lists this small RNA (127 nucleotides) under Marmota monax (woodchuck). The record is from RNAcentral. Lineage: Eukaryota; Metazoa; Chordata; Mammalia; Rodentia; Sciuridae.
GCUGGGCACAGUGGUGUUUGCCUGUAAUCCCUGCAAUUCAGGGGGCUGAGGCAGGAGAAUUGCACAUGAGAGGCCAGUCUCAGCAAUUUAGUGAGGCCCUAAGCAACUUAGUCAGAUUCUGUCUCAA